RNAcentral lists this ribosomal RNA (475 nucleotides) under uncultured bacterium. RNAcentral's name for it is "bacterial SSU rRNA". It matches the Rfam family "Bacterial small subunit ribosomal RNA", at positions 29 to 518 of the family's 1533-position model. The record is from RNAcentral.
ACGAACGCUGGUGGCGUGUCUAUACAUGCAAGCGAGCGAGGCAGCAAUAGCCGAGCGGCGAACGGUGAGUAACGCGUAAGCAAUCUGCCCCAUAUCAGGAAAUACCCGUGCCAACGCGCGGUUAAUGUCCAGGAGAGUGGCCCUCUGCAUGGAGGGUUGACUAGAGAUUUAUCGGUAUGGGAUGAGCUUGCGUCCGAUUAGCUAGUUGGCGGGGCAACGGCCCACCAAGGCGACGAUCGGUAGCCGGCCUGAGAGGGUGAUCGGCCACAUUGGGACUGAGAUACGGCCCAGACUCCUACGGGAGGCAGCAGUAGGGAAUAUUGCACAAUGGGGGAAACCCUGAUGCAGCAACGCCACGUGUGGGAAGAAGCAUUUCGGUGUGUAAACCACUGUCAUGAGGGAAUAAGGCCCUUAUUCGUAAGGGAUUGAAUGUACCUUGAGAGGAAGCACCGGCAAACUUCGUGCCAGCCGCAGC